Homo sapiens (human) is the source of this 1720-nucleotide long non-coding RNA. Ensembl annotates it as long intergenic non-protein coding RNA 1505. NCBI's taxonomy places the organism in Eukaryota, Metazoa, Chordata, Mammalia, Primates, Hominidae. The record is from Ensembl.
GGUAAUGGAGCAGAGACUGGAGCAGAGACAAGUUGUUCCCACUGAGCUCUCCUCAGAUUACAGAUUGGUCUGAUUAUAAAAGGAGAAUUGGAGGCUUACCAAACAUCUGAAGAGCUUUCCAGAAGUUUGGUCACUUCUGAAUUAGAGAAGUUAAAACCCAAUCACCUACUAAUGCUGUGGGAAAGUUCUGCAGGUGAUACAUCACAGGGGCUCAUGAAUGUGUCUUAAGCUGGGUCAUUGAAGUGGAAUGUUUUCACAAGACCUCCUCCACUUGCUACUGUGUCCGGAAUUGGUGGGUUCUUGGUCUCACUGACUUCAAGAAUGAAGCCGCGGACCCUCGCGGUGAGUGUUACAGUUCUUAAAGGUGGCAUGUUUGGAGUUUGUUCCUUCUGAUGUUCGGAUGUGUUCGGAGUUUCUUCGUUCUGGUGGGUUCGUGGUCUCGCUGGCUCCGGAGUGAAGCUGCAGACCUUUGCAGGAGUGGCAAAUCAAAGGCAUUGCAGCCUCUUUCAUCACUGCCGAUUGCUGAUGCCAACCAUGUGCCAAGUGCUUAAUACGUCACCUUAAAUCUUCUCAUCCACCCUCAGAGUAGCUGCAGCAUCAACCCAGUGCCCUGACUUUCAAGACGACUAUGAAAACACCCCAACUGCUGCUAAAUUACCAGCAACAAGGAUCUGACAUUCUUAUUCAAAAGAAAGAACACCGAAAUUGACCUUACCCUGACAAUAUGAUGGCUGAAGGAUUUAUGAUCACUUAUAACAUUUGAAAUUGAGGCGGAACCUGAAGAAUAAGACUCUGGUGAAAGGUCCUAUUUAUGCUUUUGAUGUCUUUCACUUGGACAUUUACCACAUGCCUAUUGGUAGGUUUGUUACAUAGGUCAGUUAAGGUGAUACAAGAAUAAAUAAAACACUAUCCCUAUCCUUUAAUAUCAUUUAUUUAUGGGGUCAAUCACAGAUUUUCAUUUUUCAAAAUCUUUGAUAAAUGUCAGAAUUAUGUUUUUUAAUAUUUUUACAGAAUUAUUACAAUAUAUGGUAGAGGAUGGAAGGCAAGGUAGUAUGAAACGGAAAAGAUAUUUUGAAUUAAGGUAUUUGGACCUGGAUUAAUAUUUUUGCUUUGGUCUUUAUUAGCUGAGUGACCUUGAGAAAGUUCUUCUACUAAAAAAGAACAAAGAUAAUAAUUACUUCAUGAAAUUGCUGUAAAAAACACAUAACAAGUAUAUCCAGACUCAACAGUGUAUGCUCAAAAAUGCAGAUCCUUUUUCCCUUACCUGCAAAUAAAGUCUUACAGUAAUACAGUGGGGGUAAAGGUUUAAACUGGUGGAUUCAAGAAGGGCUAUAGAAAGAGGUAGCAUCUUAAUAGGGGAAGGAGAGGAUCCAAGAAAUCAGAUCCAUUUUCUACAAAAAGAAAUGGGAAGACAGAUAAUUCAAGAAGAAAAGUUUACAUGAUUAAAGACCCGAAGUUAGAAAUAGUGAUGUGUCUCAAUAGUAAGUUAGGAAUUGGGGUGGACACAAUUGUUGGAAGAAGGAUGGUUUCAGCAAAGGCCCAAGUUAGGUGACAAUUUCAAGUGUUUGUGAAGAUAUAUGAACAAAAUUAUAAAGUAGUUAGGGUAUAAGAAAUAGGGAGGAGGGAAUGAAUUAACAUUUAUGGAGUGUCUUGCAUGUUCCAAGCACUGUACUACUUGCCUUAUAAACCUUUCUUCAAUAAACGCCUACAACAAUCCUGA